Long non-coding RNA from Quercus lobata, 956 nucleotides. RefSeq lists it as uncharacterized. The transcript has 5 exons. The record is from RefSeq and is a predicted model, not a curated record. Lineage: Eukaryota; Viridiplantae; Streptophyta; Magnoliopsida; Fagales; Fagaceae.
ACUGAGCACUUGACCCGGCCCACCCAAAAACCGAACCGACCCGAACCGACCCGAUAUGCUUUGGAUGGGUCUAAGAAUAUUCGGGUCGGGUUUCGGGUCUCAUUUUCGGGUUAUUUUCGGUUUUGGGUCGGGUUCGGGUCGGUUUUCGGGUCCUAUAAAUAUCUUAGUCUGAACCCGAUUCUUGUGUUUCUGAAAAAAAAAAAAAAACCCUACGUUCUCUUCUCUUCAGUCUCCGCCUCCCUCAGCUCUCUGCCUCCCUCCCUCCCUCACCUCUCUCUUUAUUCCUCAAAGGUUUAAACCAGUUUCAAGCUAUUUGCUCCAUUUGUCUCUGUGUUUUUAACUAAAGGGCUCUUCUGCCUCUCUCUGGGGUUUCACUAUUUUGCUUUUCGCCAAGGCAGUAGUAGCUGAUGAUAUAUGCAUUAGCUAUGACAAAAAGGUGGUCGAGCUUUGAUAUGUAUCCAACAUUUGACUAGUUGUGGGAUUUUAGAGCUUACUGAGAACAUAAAAAAAGUUGGGGAAGCAAAAGCCUAACACCACAACCACCAGCAACCCCAUGUGUAUGAAGCCAAGUUUAAUGUUGGAGCUUGAAGAAGUGCUUACAUGCAGGAUUACUGAAAAGAAACUUUUUUUUGACAAUUAAGCAUUCUGUCCAGCAAUGGAUUGCUGUAAUUUGUUUCACGACUAAGCAUUUUGUUGUAAUGUAAAGCUUUAGAUAUCUUGUCAUAGUUUUUCAUUUCCGGCUCUUUAGUGCUUGUGUUGGUUUUUAUGCAUUUGUUUUGCUUUCUCAAAGUUCUAACACUGUUUGGAGAGUACACAACAGAAUGAAAUGAAUUAGAGUGGAUAGGUUAUAAAUGAAUGGAAUGUGGAGGACUAUAUUAUUUUCUUUUGUUUGGUGUGCUUUGGAGUUGCAUAAUAGAAGGAAUGGAAAGAAGAGAUAUCAUACUUUGAUGGUUCAA